Molecule: long non-coding RNA, 218 nt
Filed under: Nicotiana benthamiana
Lineage: Eukaryota; Viridiplantae; Streptophyta; Magnoliopsida; Solanales; Solanaceae
Description: long non-coding RNA (NBEN_LNC019228)
Source: RNAcentral
GGCUGGAGAUUGUUGGUGGUCGGCGAGGGAGAGGGAGGCCUAAGAAGCAUUGGGGAGAGGUGAUUAGGCAGGACAUGACCAGAUUGACGGUUACCGAGGACAUGACCCUUCAUAGGGGCGUUUGGAGGUCUAGAAUCAGGAUUGUAGGCUAGGAGCUCCUAGAGUCCUUCGUUCGCAUCUCUCGGGGUUGGGUGUGGGAUAGUAGGGUUACCCAUAGN